CUCCAGCUAGAUUACCAUUUGAGUUAUUUAACUUGAAGAUUUCAAUUCCAUUCAAGAGAACAGUUGCCCAUCUAGUUUUCCACUCAUCUGCACUUGCUUGGAGCUUAACAGAGAGCUUCACUUUCUUUUUGGUAGUGCCUGCAGAAGGUACCAAAACUAUGUAAUCUUUGAGAUAUGGAAUUCCUUUCCCAUUAGCCAAACGAAACACAUCCAUAUUCUUCUCAGCGAUCUUGUCUUUGAUGUAUAUUAAGAACAUUCUUUCAUUUAUGUCACUGAUUUCAGGGUCAAUCUCGCAAAAAUGAAGACGAAGCAUGUAAUAGAACCCAGGAUCUACAAGGUAUUCCCAUGUGAGAUUGUAGCUCUUGUUAUCUGUUUCAUUGGAUCCCAUUGUCCGAGCAGUUCGAUACACGAGUUCUGGUGCGGUGUACGUU
RNAcentral lists this long non-coding RNA (431 nucleotides) under Cucumis sativus (cucumber). RNAcentral describes it as "long non-coding RNA (CSAT_LNC001458)". Lineage: Eukaryota; Viridiplantae; Streptophyta; Magnoliopsida; Cucurbitales; Cucurbitaceae. The record is from RNAcentral.